Molecule: microRNA, 23 nt
Filed under: Saccoglossus kowalevskii
Lineage: Eukaryota; Metazoa; Hemichordata; Enteropneusta; Harrimaniidae
Also listed under: 1 other name
Description: sko-miR-9-3p
Gene: sko-miR-9-3p
Source: miRBase by way of RNAcentral
AUAAAGCUAGGUUACCAAAGACA